GAUGAAGAACGUAGCGAAAUGCGAUACUUGGUGUGAAUUGCAGAAUCCCGUGAACCAUCGAGUCUUUGAACGCAAGUUGCGCCCGAAGCCAUCAGGUUGAGGGCACGUCUGCCUGGGCGUCACAUAUCGUUGCCCAAUGCCUAUUGCAGUGCAAUAGGAAUUUCUAGGGCGAAUGAUGGCUUCCCGUGAGCGUUGUUGCCUCGCGGUUGGUUGAAAAUCGAGUCCUUGGUAGGGUGUGCCAUGGUAGAUGGUGGUCGAGUUAGAACGAUACCGAUCAUGUGCAUGCUCCCCAAAAUAUGGCCUCUAUGACCCACACGCGUCUUUUGACGCUCAUGACGAGACCUCAGGUCAGGCGGGGCUACCCGCUGAGUUUAAGCAUAUAAUAAGCGGAGGA
RNAcentral lists this unclassified non-coding RNA (394 nucleotides) under soil metagenome. RNAcentral's name for it is "partial contains 5.8S ribosomal RNA, internal transcribed spacer 2, and large subunit ribosomal RNA". The stretch from base 1 to 122 matches the Rfam family "5.8S ribosomal RNA", at positions 35 to 154 of the family's 154-position model. The record is from RNAcentral.